GUGGAAGAAGGAAGGCCUGACUAUCUGACGCUUGUAACGUUUUGAUUCUGCGCUCAACCAGGAACUGCUUUCGAUUGUUGGCGGGCGCCGCCAUCUUGCUCAGUGAGCUCACGAGCGGCAGUACGUGAAGCCGUUGUUAGUUAUAACAAAAUCUAUCCUCAUUGUAAUACUACAUAUUUAAUUGAUAUAUUUAUUAAUAAUAAUAUUUAAAAUCAUUUAUUUACGUUCAUAUUUAUAUUAAAUAUAAUAUAAAUAAUGGCCGAACGUGAGGAUAAUGUCUACAAGGCAAAGCUUGCCGAACAGGCGGAGCGUUAUGAUGAAAUGGUUGAGGCAAUGAAAAAAGUUGCUUCCUUAGACGUCGAGUUAACUGUAGAGGAGAGAAAUUUAUUGUCUGUUGCAUACAAGAAUGUUAUUGGUGCUAGAAGAGCUUCCUGGCGAAUAAUUUCUAGUAUCGAACAAAAAGAAGAAAAUAAAGGAGCGGAAGAAAAACUCGAAAUGAUUCGUCAAUACAGAUCUCAAGUUGAAAAAGAGCUUAGAGACAUUUGCGCGGACAUACUCGAUGUCCUCGAUAAGCAUCUCAUUCCUUGCGCCUCAACAGGCGAGUCCAAAGUCUUCUAUUACAAAAUGAAGGGUGAUUACCAUCGUUACCUAGCAGAAUUUGCUAUCGGCACUGACAGGAAAGAAGCCGCUGAGAAAUCCUUAAUAGCAUACAAAGAAGCGAGUGAAAUCGCAAUGACAGGACUCCCUCCUACUCAUCCAAUUCGUUUAGGAUUAGCCCUAAACUUUUCCGUCUUUUAUUAUGAGAUAUUGAAUAGUCCAGAUCGAGCAUGUCGUUUGGCAAAAGCAGCUUUCGAUGAUGCCAUUGCUGAACUCGAUACUCUAUCUGAAGAGAGCUACAAAGAUUCUACCCUUAUUAUGCAACUACUCAGGGACAACCUCACUUUAUGGACCUCGGACAUGCAGGGUGAUGAGUCUGAUACUGAACAAUCGUUACUGCCUGUUGAUAAUCCUCUAUCCGACGACAAUGAUACUCAUCCUUAAAACUACUUCCAUACUUAUAUUUCGUCCUUAAUCCCCGUCAUUUCUUCUACUGAUUGGUGAUGGCGAACAAAAAGAACAAACGCAAGAUGUAGACGAUCAGGAUGUAUCGUAACUUUAGUUUCAGUGAGUGUUAUUUGCGCAUACAAUUGGGACACAAUAAAAAUAAAACAACAACAAAUAAACUCUUAAUAAUUAAGUAAUUAAACAAACAAACCAACAAAAAAUAAUAAUAAUAAUAAAAUAAUAAUAAUAAUGAAAGAAUUAAAAUUGAGGGAGUUGAAUGUCGCGGUGGGAAGAAAAUAAGAAGAGAAAAGAGGGAGGGUUAAAACGACAAUUGAAGAGAGGGUGGAUAAUUUAAAAAAAAUAAUGUGAGAUCUUUAGUAAUUACGUGACUUACUUACAGUUAUAACUCGUUAAUAAUACAACCUUAUAAAACAUAAAAAAAGCAAAAAAAAAAAAAACCUAUAUUUAAAAAAUUGGAAAUGAAAAUAAAUCUUGUGGUAAGUUUAAAUUUUUAACAACUAUAUUUACAAUAUGUGCACAUGUAUACAAAAAACAUAAUAAUAAUUACUGAGUACAUAAAUAAAUUAAAUAUUAAUUAUUAUUGUAUUAUGUAUUAUGUACUCUUAUUAAUUAAUGUGACAUUUUUGCGCGAAGAAACAUUAAAAAAUUUUUACAUAUCGAAAAUUUACUUAACAACUUAUUAAAUGUCUUUUAAAUUUAUUUUUAUUAUUUCAAUUGUUCCCUUUAUUUUAUUUUUUAUGUAUACGAUAUAUUUUUCAUGAUAUUCUUGUAUUUAAAUUUAAAAAGUAAAAUUUACUAAAGUACUAAUUAAAUUUUUUAUUUUAUUUUCUCUUAAUUUGAAUUUAAAUAUACGUUUAUAAUAAUUUAAAAAUUUAUAUUUAUUGUGUAAAAUGUUCCUUCUCGCAAUUCACAUAUUUUAUAAAUUAUAAAUAUUAUACUUAUAAAGAAGAAAAAAAAAGUAAUCAUGCUGGCUAAUACUCUCCUCUUUUCGUUUUAAAACCCUCCUAUUAAAAUACAAUCGCGAUUAUUUGUAAAUCUUUUCAAGACGUUUGUUGUCCCAUAUCGAUUAUUUAAAUAACAGCGGUACGAAAUAAUUAAUGCAUGAAUUUAAAUGUAAUAAAUCGCGACGUUAAGGAAUUAAAAAUAAAAAUAAACAAAACAAUUAUAGAAUUAAGGAUCUCAAACCCAUCGCAAUAAAUAAACAAUCUCGUCGGUAAUCGUUAGCUUAGCACCUGUAAUAAAAUAAAAUAAAAAAAAAACUAGAGCUUACUACAGUGCAUCUACUUUUCAUUAUUCUGAAAAAAAAAUUAAUUAACAAAAUGGUAUUUUAUUUAUAUUAAUGUAAGUUUUUUUUCGUAAGAUUUAUAAUAGUUAUAUAUCACAAGUCUAUUUCUCAUUGAUUGUGAUGCACUUGGAUGAUAUUAAAUUUUAUUAAUUAUGAGUAUAAUUGUAAAAAAAAAAUAAGUUGAUUAUUUUCUGGUCAUAUUUUUAUUAAUGAUAAAAAGUUUUUUUUUUCUCUUGUAUCCUCAUGAAAAAAAAUAAAUAAACCGGCAGUUAAUAAAUUGGAAAAAUAAAAUCUUAAUUGUAUACAUGAUUUUAUUGAACUUUACUAAUAUUAAUUAUUGUUUAAGAAUUUAAAAUUAUACAAUGAAAAAAAAUCUGCUGAAUAUGUACUAUAUUUUUUUUUAUUUUUUCAUAAUUACUUGCGUUGAUUGUAUUCAGUAGUGAUACUUAAAUACAAUAUUUACAAAUUAAUAAAUUGCUCUGUAUCAUGAUUUGUUAAUAAUUUUCUUUCUUUUAUUGUUUAAUAUAUAUAUGAAUAUCAACAAUUUUAAAGCAACACAUAUUUUUAUAUUAAUUGAGGGCAUUCUCAGACAGUACCACCCACUUGUGAAAAAUAUUCAAUUACUCCUGUCAGAAUUUUAUUAAUUAAUUAUAAAAGUUGAAGCAUUUAAAAAAAGACAAUUUCACUGAGAUGAAGAUUUAAAAAAAAAUAUUUAGUUAUCAACUAGGAGUCGAACGAAAUUUUGUGAAUAAAUUUAAGCCUACACAGAAAAAAAAAUUUUUUUACUUGACCUAAGAAAUUUUUUGUAUUUUGAAUUGAAAAAGAAAAUUUUUUGAAACCAAAAAAAAAUUUCUUACAUUAAUAAAUUUUUUUUUUUUGUUUUACGAUACAAAAAUUUUUCUUGCGCCAAGAAAUUGUUUUUUUUCUGUGUAAAAAAUUUUAAAAUUGAUAAGAAAAUUUUACUGAAAUUUUUUUAACAAAUUUCCCAAUUGAUAUCAACUUUAAGUAAAUUUUAAAAAAUUUAUAUCAGCGAAAUUUUUAAAUUAAUGCUUCAAUUUUUCUUUGAUUGAUUAAUAAAAUUUUAAUACGUCUAUGACGAAAGAUAUUAAAUAUUUUUAAAAAGUGGGGGCAGUUUUAGAAAAUACCCUUAAUUUCUCGUGAUUUUUUUAAUUCUUCCCCCGUGACAUUAUGUUCAUUUAAACAGAUAAAUAUAAAUGAAUGAAUGAAUGUUAUAACAAGAGAAAAAAAACUUUUUGUAACAUUAAGUACAUGUUUUAUUGACAAUUAGUAAAUAUCGUAAUUAUUGUAUGUGUAAAAAAAAGAUUGAUUCCAUUUUCAAUGAUAAUUUUUUUUCAUCAUAAUCUCGUGUAAAAAAAAAUUCGUUCCAAAAUUACCCCGAAAUAGUUCGACGUGUAGAACUUCUGAACUUAAGACAGAGUAGAACUUUCAGUGAAACUUUUUUUGAACUUUUGUAAUUUCGAUAGUAAAAAAAAAAUUUAUCUCGGACUUUAUAUGAUCGAAUUUUGAAUGAAAGAACUUUUUUUUUUAUUAUCAAAGUUACAAAAGUUUCACUCGGAUUCUAAUCUGUCUCAAGUCUAUAAGUUCCACUGUCGAACUAUUUUGAAUUAUUUUUGAAACGGACUUUUUUUACGCGGGAAAUUUCUUAUGAUACUGAAAUUAGCUGACGUUUAAUAAUUUUUUGAUUUUGUUUAAAAUAAUAAAUAAAUUAUAAAAAAAAAAUAUUUAAAAAAAUUGCACUUAUAGUUUAUUUAAUUUUCUACACGUGCAUAUUUUUAUUUUUUUUAUUUUUGUAAUUGAUGUUGAAAAAAAAAAUCCGAAAAUUGUUAAUUGUCUACUAAUUUAAGAAUCAUAAUUUAUUACCAAUUAAGUAGUUUAAUUUUUGUCAUGAUUUUUAAAUACAAUAGAUUAUUAUUGUUUUUUAUAACUACCGAUUUUAUAGUUUCAUUAAACUAAUAAAUAAAAUUUUAAUUUAAUUAACAUUUUUAGUAUUACUUGUCGUCGGCGUAUUAUCAUUCAAAUUAAAUAUGAAAAUAAAUUUAUUUUUAUUUUUAAAAAUUAAAUUUAAACAGUAAAUCGAGAGUAAAUUUUUAAAUCCACAUAAUUAAUAGUUGAGGGAAAAAAAAUGUAGUAAUUAUUGACAAGAGCUACGGCAGGAUGGACUAGAUCGUAUUUAAGAUUUAAAAUUAUUUAAAAGUCUCAAUAAAUAAUAAAGCGAAUAAAUUUUUCACUGCAUUUCAUUUUUAAAAAUAUUAAAUAAAAUUUAAAUUUAAACGAAAUAAACUGUAAAGCCACAUGAUAAAAUGCUAUAAAUAAAUAAGAUAAUCAAAGAA
This is an RNA transcript of Microplitis mediator, 4701 nucleotides long. It is a transcript of the gene named 14-3-3 protein epsilon, with no coding region annotated. The transcript has 5 exons. The record is from RefSeq and is a predicted model, not a curated record. Lineage: Eukaryota; Metazoa; Arthropoda; Insecta; Hymenoptera; Braconidae.